Molecule: ribosomal RNA, 677 nt
Filed under: uncultured Vibrio sp.
Lineage: Bacteria; Pseudomonadati; Pseudomonadota; Gammaproteobacteria; Vibrionales; Vibrionaceae
Description: bacterial SSU rRNA
Rfam family: Bacterial small subunit ribosomal RNA
Source: RNAcentral
UGCAGUCGAGCGGCAGCGACAACAUUGAUUCUUCGGAGGAUUUGUUGGGCGGCGAGCGGCGGACGGGUGAGUAAUGGCUGGGAACCUGCCCUGACGUGGGGGAUAACAGUUGGAAACGACUGCUAAUACCGCAUGAUGUCUUUGGACCAAAGAGGAGGACCUUCGGGCUUCUCGCGUCGGGAUGGGCCCAGUUGGGAUUAGCUAGUUGGUGAGGUAAUGGCUCACCAAGGCGACGAUCCCUAGCUGGUUUGAGAGGAUGAUCAGCCACACUGGAACUGAGACACGGUCCAGACUCCUACGGGAGGCAGCAGUGGGGAAUAUUGCACAAUGGGCGCAAGCCUGAUGCAGCCAUGCCGCGUGUGUGAAGAAGGCCUUCGGGUUGUAAAGCACUUUCAGCAGUGAGGAAGGCGUAGUGGUUAAUACCCACUGCGCUUGACGUUAGCUGCAGAAGAAGCACCGGCUAACUCCGUGCCAGCAGCCGCGGUAAUACGGAGGGUGCGAGCGUUAAUCGGAAUUACUGGGCGUAAAGCGCAUGCAGGCGGUUUGUUAAGCAAGAUGUGAGAGCCCCGGGCUCAACCUGGGAACCGCAUUUUGAACUGGCAGGCUAGAGUCUUGUAGAGGGGGGUAGAAUUUCAGGUGUAGCGGUGAAAUGCGUAGAGAUCUGAAAGGAAUACCGG